UGAAACCUAAUGAGCAUGGGAAACCCCACCGGGCGAAAUAUCGAAUCUGUGUACUUGGAAAUCUAGACCCCAACGACUGGAAUAAAACAGACUGUUUCGCACCAGUCAUGUCCCAUAUGGAACUACGGCUGAUGAUAGCAAUGGCUGUCCAGAUGAAAUGCAGCCUAAA
RNAcentral lists this non-coding RNA (169 nucleotides) under Ditylum brightwellii. The record is from RNAcentral. Lineage: Eukaryota; Bacillariophyta; Thalassiosirophyceae; Lithodesmiales; Lithodesmiaceae.